UUUAUGCUCUACUCCGGGUAAAGAUCCGCCCGAUUUGGAUUUGUACAUAUAGGACAAAUGCUCCCAUUACCAUUUCUUUUUGUAUUUAUUUUUUUUCAAUUCAUUUUAUACAAGUAUUUCUUAGAGUUGAGAUAACUUUGCUUGACAAUUAGGAUCUCUUUACAAAGAAAAAAUAUGAAUAGCAAUCAUAGAUAUCUUACCAAUCCAAUUGGAUUUUUUCUAAAAG
Molecule: long non-coding RNA, 226 nt
Filed under: Nicotiana benthamiana
Lineage: Eukaryota; Viridiplantae; Streptophyta; Magnoliopsida; Solanales; Solanaceae
Description: long non-coding RNA (NBEN_LNC025211)
Source: RNAcentral